CCAAAAUCUUUGACUACUUCUCAUACUAGUUUCAUUCAUCUUUUCGUACUAAUCUGUAACUUUCAAAUGAUGUCCAAUUUGGAAGAAGGAAAAAAAAGCUUGAGUCCUUAAAAUUUCUAAAUUAAGAUUCCGAAUGGAGACGUGCGGUUCAACUGCGGAUAAAGUGCGGUGCGGUUCAAAUAGUAACAAAUUAUAUACAUAUAUAUAUGCAAAGAAUUUCGUUAUUAUUUAAAACACACUGCACUGCGGUUCGGUCACCAUUCGAAACCUAAGAUCCAAAAUUAUUUCAAAAAUAUCGCAUACUAAAAAAAUGUGGAAAAUAAUCAGCAUAAAGUCGCAGGGA
RNAcentral lists this small RNA (343 nucleotides) under Arabidopsis thaliana (thale cress). RNAcentral's name for it is "ATSL195870". Lineage: Eukaryota; Viridiplantae; Streptophyta; Magnoliopsida; Brassicales; Brassicaceae. The record is from RNAcentral.